AUGGCUAACAGGUGUGCCCUAGCCUACCCUGCGGGGUUCUCCUGCCAGAUUUUGCUCACUAUAUACACCUUUGCUUUUGCUACUGCUGAGUGCACAUGGUGCCGUGUGCAAGAUGGUGCGAUAUGGUUAAAGUGGGAUGAAACCUUCCUUUGUAAGAGCUCGGUGCCCCUGGCUCGGAGACACCAGGGCUGCUCUACGGCAGUCCCUCGAUCAUUCUGGAAGAUGACAUGAUAAUUUAAGUGGAAAAUCCUAAGGAUUCUACAAAGGAAUUAUUAGAAUUUGUCAAGAUCUCAACAUACAAGGUCAGUAUUAAAAAAUCAGUUAUAUUUGAUCAGUUUCAAAAAUUAUAAGAUAAAAUCUAAGGAUUCCCUUUAAAAUGGAAUUUAAAUACUUAGGAAUAAAUGAACAAAAGAGGUACAAGGCCUUUACAUUGAAAUACUUACCAUAUGUCUGAUACUUGUAUACACUCAAAUUUUUUUUAC
RNAcentral lists this long non-coding RNA (482 nucleotides) under Mustela putorius furo (domestic ferret). RNAcentral describes it as "lncRNA (ENSMPUG00000030089.1)". The record is from RNAcentral. Lineage: Eukaryota; Metazoa; Chordata; Mammalia; Carnivora; Mustelidae.